GUCUACAGCCAUGCCACCCUGAACAAGCCUGAUGUCUGAUCUCAGAAGCUAAGCAGGAUCAGGCCUGGUUAGUACUUGCAUGGGAGACCACCUAGGAAGACCAGGUGCUGUAGGCA
This 116-nucleotide ribosomal RNA is filed under the name Pteropus alecto (black flying fox). The record is from RNAcentral. Lineage: Eukaryota; Metazoa; Chordata; Mammalia; Chiroptera; Pteropodidae.